Molecule: ribosomal RNA, 550 nt
Filed under: Acinetobacter baumannii
Lineage: Bacteria; Pseudomonadati; Pseudomonadota; Gammaproteobacteria; Moraxellales; Moraxellaceae
Description: partial 23S ribosomal RNA
Rfam family: Bacterial large subunit ribosomal RNA
Source: RNAcentral
UAGCUCACUGGUCGAGUGAUCCUGCGCCGAAAAUUUCCGGGGCUAAAACGUACUACCGAAGCUACGGCAUCAUUUAUGAUGGGUAGGGGAGCUUCGUAUGCAGGCUGAAGCAUGACCGUAAGGACAUGUGGACAGUAUACGAGUGAGAAUGUUGGCAUGAGUAGCGAGACGUGGGUGAGAAUCCCACGGGCCGUAAACCCAAGGUUUCCAGGGAAAGGUUCGUCCGCCCUGGGUUAGUCGGGACCUAAGCCGAGGCCGAAAGGCGUAGGUGAUGGACAACAGGUUGAUAUUCCUGUACCGCCAAUAAGCGUUUGAGAGAUGGAGUGACACAGUAGGAUAAGCUAACCGUACUGUUGGUUAUGUACGGCUAAGCAUUGAGGCAGUCUAAAUAGGCAAAUCCGUUUAGACAAUGCUAGGAUGUGAUAGGGAAGCCCUUCGGGGCGUAGUAGCUGAUUUCACACUGUCAAGAAAAGCUUCUAUCGAGUUUAAAGGCGCCCGUACCGUAAACCGACACAGGUGGGUGAGGAGAGUAUCCUAAGGCCAGCGAGAG